UCGGGAAUAUUGGGCAAUGGAGGAAACUCUGACCCAGCAAUACCGCGUGAAGGACGAAGGUCUUCGGAUUGUAAACUUCUGUUAUAAAGGAAGAAAAAAAUGACGGUACUUUAUAAGUAAGCACCGGCAAACUACGUGCCAGCAGCCGCGGUGAUACGAAGGGUGCGAGCGUUGUCCGGAAUGACUGGGUGUAAAGGGUGUGUAGGUGGCUUAUUAAGUUAAAAGUGAAAGCCCGGGGCUCAACUCCGGAACUGCUUUUAAUACUGGUUGGCUUGAGUGUGGGAGAGGUAAGUGGAACUCCUAGUGUAGCGGUGGAAUGCGUAGAUAUUAGGAAGAACAUCAGAGGCGAAGGCGACUUACUGGAACAUUACUGACACUGAAACACGAAAGCGUGGGGAGCAAACAGG
Molecule: ribosomal RNA, 407 nt
Filed under: uncultured prokaryote
Also listed under: 1 other name
Description: bacterial SSU rRNA
Rfam family: Bacterial small subunit ribosomal RNA
Source: RNAcentral